CAUGCAAGUCAACUUGAAUUUGGGUUUUUAACUUAGAUUUGGGUGGCGGACGGGUGAGUAACGCGUAAAGAACUUGCCUCACAGCUAGGGACAACAUUUAGAAAUGAAUGCUAAUACCUGAUAUUAUGAUUUUAAGGCAUCUUAGAAUUAUGAAAGCUAUAAGCACUGUGAGAGAGCUUUGCGUCCCAUUAGCUAGUUGGAGAGGUAACAGCUCACCAAGGCGAUGAUGGGUAGCCGGCCUGAGAGGGUGAACGGCCACAAGGGGACUGAGACACGGUCCUUACUCCUACGGGAGGCAGCAGUGGGGAAUAUUGGACAAUGGACCGAGAGUCUGAUCCAGCAAUUCUGUGUGCACGAUGAAGUUUUUCGGAAUGUAAAGUGCUUUCAGUUGGGAAGAAAAAAAUGACGGUACCAACAGAAGAAGUGACGGCUAAAUACGUGCCAGCAGCCGCGGUAAUACGUAUGUCACGAGCGUUAUCCGGAUUUAUUGGGCGUAAAGCGCGUCUAGGUGGUUAUGUAAGUCUGAUGUGAAAAUGCAGGGCUCAACUCUGUAUUGCGUUGGAAACUGUAUAACUAGAGUACUGGAGAGGUAAGCGGAACUACAAGUGUAGAGGUGAAAUUCGUAGAUAUUUGUAGGAAUACCGAUGGGGAAGCCAGCUUACUGGACAGAUACUGACGCUAAAGCGCGAAAGCGUGGGUAGCAAACAGGAUUAGAUACCCUGGUAGUCCACGCUGUAAACGAUGAUUACUAGGUGUUGGGGG
This 762-nucleotide ribosomal RNA is filed under the name uncultured bacterium. RNAcentral's name for it is "bacterial SSU rRNA". It matches the Rfam family "Bacterial small subunit ribosomal RNA", at positions 54 to 829 of the family's 1533-position model. The record is from RNAcentral.